CCUACGGGUGGCAGCAGUGAGGAAUAUUGGUCAAUGGUCGAGAGUCUGAACCAGCCAAGCCGCGUGAAGGAUGAAUGUCCUAUGGGUUGUAAACUUCUUUUAUAUGGGAAUAAAAUGUUCCACGUGUGGGCUUUUGUAUGUACCAUAUGAAUAAGGAUCGGCUAACUCCGUGCCAGCAGCCGCGGUAAUACGGAGGAUCCGAGCGUUAUCCGGAUUUAUUGGGUUUAAAGGGUGCGUAGGUGGGUUGUUAAGUCAGUUGUGAAAGUUUGCGGCUCAACCGUAAAAUUGCAGUUGAAACUGGCAGUCUUGAGUACAGUAGAGGUAGGCGGAAUUCGUGGUGUAGCGGUGAAAUGCUUAGAUAUCACGAAGAACUCCGAUUGCGAAGGCAGCUCACUGGACUGCAACUGACACUGAGGCUCGAAAGUGUGGGUAUCAAACAGGAUUAGAUACCCGAGUAGUC
RNAcentral lists this ribosomal RNA (460 nucleotides) under uncultured bacterium. RNAcentral describes it as "partial 16S ribosomal RNA". It matches the Rfam family "Bacterial small subunit ribosomal RNA", at positions 338 to 795 of the family's 1533-position model. The record is from RNAcentral.